This is a non-coding RNA of Triticum aestivum (bread wheat), 135 nucleotides long. The record is from Rfam. NCBI's taxonomy places the organism in Eukaryota, Viridiplantae, Streptophyta, Magnoliopsida, Poales, Poaceae.
CUUGUACUUCCUCCGUCCGAAAAUACUUGUCAUCAAAAUGGAUAAAAAAAGAUGUAUCUAGAACUAAAAUACGUCUAGAUACAUCCCCUUUUAUUCAUUUUGAGGACAAGUAUUUUUGAACGGAGGGAGUAUUUU